UGGUGGGCGGUGCUUAAUUAGCAGUCGACGGUGAACACGGAGCUUGCUCUGUGGGAUCAGUGGCGAACGGGUGAGUAACACGUGAGCAACCUGCCCCUGACUCUGGGAUAAGCGCUGGAAACGGCGUCUAAUACUGGAUAUGUGACGUGACCGCAUGGUCUGCGUCUGGAAAGAAUUUCGGUUGGGGAUGGGCUCGCGGCCUAUCAGCUUGUUGGUGAGGUAAUGGCUCACCAAGGCGUCGACGGGUAGCCGGCCUGAGAGGGUGACCGGCCACACUGGGACUGAGACACGGCCCAGACUCCUACGGGAGGCAGCAGUGGGGAAUAUUGCACAAUGGGCGCAAGCCUGAUGCAGCAACGCCGCGUGAGGGACGACGGCCUUCGGGUUGUAAACCUCUUUUAGCAGGGAAGAAGCGAAAGUGACGGUACCUGCAGAAAAAGCGCCGGCUAACUACGUGCCAGCAGCCGCGGUAAUACGUAGGGCGCAAGCGUUAUCCGGAAUUAUUGGGCGUAAAGAGCUCGUAGGCGGUUUGUCGCGUCUGCUGUGAAAUCCGGAGGCUCAACCUCCGGCCUGCAGUGGGUACGGGCAGACUAGAGUGCGGUAGGGGAGAUUGGAAUUCCUGGUGUAGCGGUGGAAUGCGCAGAUAUCAGGAGGAACACCGAUGGCGAAGGCAGAUCUCUGGGCCGUAACUGACGCUGAGGAGCGAAAGGGUGGGGAGCAAACAGGCUUAGAUACCCUGGUAGUCCACCCCGUAAACGUUGGGAACUAGUUGUGGGGUCCAUUCCACGGAUUCCGUGACG
RNAcentral lists this ribosomal RNA (800 nucleotides) under Microbacterium maritypicum. Its description in RNAcentral is "bacterial SSU rRNA". It matches the Rfam family "Bacterial small subunit ribosomal RNA", at positions 37 to 848 of the family's 1533-position model. The record is from RNAcentral. Lineage: Bacteria; Bacillati; Actinomycetota; Actinomycetes; Micrococcales; Microbacteriaceae.